GUCUGAACCAGUUUUUUGAAGUUUUGAACCAGUUUUUUGAAGAUCUGAAGGGCAACUCUAUGGACCAGGAAUCGCCGAUUAGCAUAUUAAUGCGAUGGAAAUUGUGACCUGCACCUUUCCGGCCGCACGACAAAUGCAUACUGGAGACGCCUCGGUGAAAUGCUUGUACCAGGCAUAAUAUGACAUGUAUCCUAAU
Molecule: long non-coding RNA, 196 nt
Organism: Neodiprion fabricii
Lineage: Eukaryota; Metazoa; Arthropoda; Insecta; Hymenoptera; Diprionidae
Exons: 2
Source: RefSeq, a predicted model, not a curated record